UACGUAGGGUGCGAGCGUUGUCCGGAAUUAUUGGGCGUAAAGAGCUUGUAGGCGGUUUGUCGCGUCUGCUGUGAAAUCUCAAGGCUCAACCUUGAGCUUGCAGUGGGUACGGGCAGACUAGAGUGUGGUAGGGGAGACUGGAAUUCCUGGUGUAGCGGUGAAAUGCGCAGAUAUCAGGAGGAACACCGAUGGCGAAGGCAGGUCUCUGGGCAUUAACUGACGCUGAGGAGCGAAAAGCAUGGGGAGCGAACAGG
This 254-nucleotide ribosomal RNA is filed under the name uncultured bacterium. Its description in RNAcentral is "partial 16S ribosomal RNA". It matches the Rfam family "Bacterial small subunit ribosomal RNA", at positions 524 to 776 of the family's 1533-position model. The record is from RNAcentral.